GGAUAUUUACUGCUAUUUAUACAAUGAAACUAACAGAUAGCAUUCAUUGUUAUUCCAGCUAGUAGCUUGUUUUCUUUUUUGGCAAUCCACUAGGCAAGCGCCUAGGGUUAGAAUUUUAUUAUUAAAGUAACAGAAUACAGAAAUAAUUAUAAGGUCCAAAAUACAUGCGAAAGAGAAAAUAGAAUUUGACAUCUGCUUUUACGGACUAGCACUAUUAAGAGCUAUGCUUAAUGUUUGAAUCAAUAAAAGCAAACUAUGAUUGAAAGCUGAGAUGGAAAUCCACUUAAAUGGCAUUAUGUCCAUAAGAUGUCAAUAAAAGCAAACUAUGAUUGAAAACUGAGAUGACAAUCCAUUUAAAUGGAAUUAGGUCCAUAAGAUGCCGUCCUUCCCCUGCAAUGUCACCUUUCCUUCCUCAAGGGGAUGAGCACAAG
This 431-nucleotide long non-coding RNA is filed under the name Nicotiana benthamiana. RNAcentral's name for it is "long non-coding RNA (NBEN_LNC013735)". Lineage: Eukaryota; Viridiplantae; Streptophyta; Magnoliopsida; Solanales; Solanaceae. The record is from RNAcentral.